UACGUAGGUGGCGAGCGUUGUCCGGAUUUACUGGGCGUAAAGGGCGUGCAGGCGGUUCGUUUAGUUCGAGGUGAAAGCUCCCGGCUCAACUGGGAGAGGUCCUCGGAUACUGGCGGACUCGAGGGAGGCAGAGGAAAGUGGAAUUCCCGGUGUAGUGGUGAUAUGCGUAGAUAUCGGGAGGAACACCAGUGGCGAAGGCGGCUUUCUGGGCCUUACCUGACGCUGAGACGCGAAAGCGUGGGGAGCGAACCGG
RNAcentral lists this ribosomal RNA (253 nucleotides) under uncultured bacterium. RNAcentral describes it as "partial 16S ribosomal RNA". It matches the Rfam family "Bacterial small subunit ribosomal RNA", at positions 524 to 776 of the family's 1533-position model. The record is from RNAcentral.